CUAUGUAUAUAUGUCUGCUUGUCCACUAAGUCAAUGUAUGCCGUUACACACACACACAUACACACCCAACUCUGCCUUCGCCAAAGCAUUUUUACAAAUCAGUUAUCAGAGAUUUUUUUUUAAUAUAUAUUGUUCUUUUUAUAAAUUAAAUUUAAAGUAAAAAAGAACGACAACUACUAUUAAAAUUGCUAUUUCUGCCUGAGCUCCAAGCUUUCGAGUUACGAAUUUUAUGAAGUCACCAGCGGCAUUAAGUAGCAACGUCGAAGUCAUAUCAACCGGUUAAAUAGAAGAUAUAUGACAUCGAACACGGACAUAUGCAUAUGUGUAUUUAUAUAUAUAUGCAGUCUUCAAUUCAUACCGUUCAUUUAGCACGUUUAUAAUAGUUACCAAGUCGUUAGACGAUAAUGGUGAUGACGACGGUGAAAACGAUGAUGUGUAACAUGUCUGUUGCAAAGGUCUUCCAUGUGUUGAAAAAGCGGGCUUUGACUUUUCGGUCUUUGCGAUUCGUGUCUUUAAUCCCAACUGUUAUGCACGACGACUUGUGAUAAAAAGGCAUAUUAAUGGAAUUCCGUUAUUAUACAAAGUAUUUCUUUCUUGUGGAGAAUAAAAGGAGAAGCAGGCCGACAAACAUUCCCUACACCUACGUAAGCGGGAGUUACAACUUUCUAGCUUUUAUAGAAAACAUAGAAUGAGAUAAAUAGAUACCUUACUACACUUUCGCAUAUAACACAUUCUAUAGACACAAGCUGCAUGCCAUUUAAAUUAUUAUUCGAAAACUACCAUAUAUGGCACACGAAAAAAUAAAUACCACUCAGGCAUACACAUCCAAGAAAUAAAAAAGAAAACUCAAAUGCUAACUACAGAAAGCCAGAAGAUAGUUACAAUUACCAAAAAAAGGCGAAUACGAAAAUCAAAACAAAACUACAUUUAUAUAAAAAA
This is a long non-coding RNA of Glossina fuscipes, 939 nucleotides long. RefSeq lists it as uncharacterized. The transcript has 3 exons. The record is from RefSeq and is a predicted model, not a curated record. Lineage: Eukaryota; Metazoa; Arthropoda; Insecta; Diptera; Glossinidae.